Molecule: small nuclear RNA, 108 nt
Organism: Nycticebus coucang (slow loris)
Lineage: Eukaryota; Metazoa; Chordata; Mammalia; Primates; Lorisidae
Source: RefSeq, a predicted model, not a curated record
GUGCUUGCUUUGGCAGCACAUAUACUAAAAUUGGAACAAUACAGAGAAGAUGAUCAUGGCCACUAAGGCAAGGAUGAGAUGAAAAUUUGUGAAGUGUUCCAUAUUUUU